RNAcentral lists this transfer RNA (77 nucleotides) under Echinicola vietnamensis DSM 17526. RNAcentral describes it as "tRNA-Pro". It matches the Rfam family "tRNA". From Rfam's summary of the family: Transfer RNA (tRNA) molecules are approximately 80 nucleotides in length. Their secondary structure includes four short double-helical elements and three loops (D, anti-codon, and T loops). Further hydrogen bonds mediate the characteristic L-shaped molecular structure. tRNAs have two regions of fundamental functional importance: the anti-codon, which is responsible for specific mRNA codon recognition, and the 3' end, to which the tRNAs corresponding amino acid is attached (by aminoacyl-tRNA synthetases). tRNAs cope with the degeneracy of the genetic code in two manners: having more than one tRNA (with a specific anti-codon) for a particular amino acid; and 'wobble' base-pairing, i.e. permitting non-standard base-pairing at the 3rd anti-codon position. Lineage: Bacteria; Pseudomonadati; Bacteroidota; Cytophagia; Cytophagales; Cyclobacteriaceae. The record is from RNAcentral.
CGGAGUGUAGCGCAGCCCGGUAGCGUACUUGCAUGGGGUGCAAGGGGUCGUGGGUUCGAAUCCCGCCACUCCGACGA